Long non-coding RNA from Myotis myotis, 403 nucleotides. RefSeq lists it as uncharacterized. Lineage: Eukaryota; Metazoa; Chordata; Mammalia; Chiroptera; Vespertilionidae. The record is from RefSeq and is a predicted model, not a curated record. The transcript is spliced from 3 exons.
GCAAAGUCAGCCAGCCAGCCAGCAAGCUAAUUGCCUCGGAGCCAAGCAACAUUGAAGAAUUUACAAGUUGUUUUCUCUUCUGCCCGCGGAAUCCUGGCCAGGGUGUGGCACCUCAUGGCUGCAAGACGGCUACUGCCACAGUGCCAAGCACCGUGUCCUCACAUAACUGCGCCCGGGCAGAAGCUGAGAUGCAGGCAUGCUUGAUGUCAGACGGGCCCUCUCUGAAAAUCCAUUGAAUUCACACACAGGUUCACGAGGGGUAUGAAUGCUGGGAGUCUCCCUCUUGGACUUGAGAUUGACACUCAACCACUGAGCCAUGUCAGCUGGGGGGAAGUUGACUAUUUUAACUAAGUUUUCAAAUUUAUCAUCAUACAACUUAACAAAAAGAAGAUAAACAAUCCAA